UCAAGUAAUUAAGUGCAUGUGGUGGAUGCCUUGGCAGUCAGAGGCGAUGAAAGACGUGAUAGCCUGCGAAAAGCUCCGGGGAGGCGGCAAAUAUCCUUUGAUCCGGAGAUGUCUGAAUGGGGGAACCCACCUACUUUAAGGUAGGUAUUGCAACAUGAAUACAUAGUGUUGCAAGGCGAACGAGGGGAAGUGAAACAUCUCAGUACCCUUAGGAAAAGAAAUCAAUUGAGAUUCCCUCAGUAGCGGCGAGCGAACGGGGAUCAGCCCAUUAAGUUAUGUGUGUUUUAGUGGAACGCUCUGGGAAGUGCGAACGUAGAGGGUGAUAUUCCCGUACACGAAAGGGCACACAUAAUGAUGACGAGUAGGGCGAGGCACGUGAAACCUUGUCUGAAUAUGGGGGGACCAUCCUCCAAGGCUAAAUACUCCUGACUGACCGAUAGUGAACCAGUACCGUGAGGGAAAGGCGAAAAGAACCCCUGUGAGGGGAGUGAAAUAGAUCCUGAAACCGCAUGCAUACAAGCAGUGGGAGCACCUUCGUGGUGUGACUGCGUACCUUUUGUAUAAUGGGUCAGCGACUUAUAUUCAGUAGCGAGGUUAACCGUAUAGGGGAGCCGUAGAGAAAUCGAGUCUUAAUAGGGCGUUUAGUUGCUGGGUAUAGACCCGAAACCAGGCGAUCUAUCCAUGAGCAGGUUGAAGGUUGGGUAACACUAACUGGAGGACCGAACCCACUGUCGUUGAAAAGCCAGGGGAUGACUUGUGGAUAGGGGUGAAAGGCUAAUCAAGCCUGGUGAUAGCUGGUUCUCCCCGAAAGCUAUUUAGGUAGCGCCUCGGACGAAUACCAUAGGGGGUAGAGCACUGUUUCGGCUAGGGGGUCAUCCCGACUUACCAAACCGAUGCAAACUCCGAAUACCUAUGAGUACUAUCCGGGAGACAGACUGCGGGUGCUAACGUCCGUAGUCAAGAGGAAAACAAUCCAGACCGCCAGCUAAGGCCCCAAAAUCAUAGUUAAGUGGGAAACGAUGUGGGAAGGCAUAGACAGCUAGGAGGUUGGCUUAGAAGCAGCCACCCUUUAAAGAAAGCGUAAUAGCUCACUAGUCGAGUCGGCCUGCGCGGAAGAUGUAACGGGGCUAAAACUAUGUGCCGAAGCUGCGGAUGUAUACUUUGUAUACGUGGUAGGGGAGCGUUCUGUAAGCCGAUGAAGGUGUGUUGAGAAGCAUGCUGGAGGUAUCAGAAGUGCGAAUGCUGACGUGAGUAACGACAAAACGGGUGAAAAACCCGUUCGCCGAAAGACCAAGGGUUCCAGUCCAACGUUAAUCGGGGCUGGGUGAGUCGACCCCUAAGGCGAGGCCGAAAGGCGUAGUCGAUGGGAAAAUGGUUAAUAUUCCAUUACUUCUGUGUAAUGCGAUGAGAGGACGGAGAAGGCUAAAUCAGCCUGGCGUUGGUUGUCCAGGUGAAAGGAUGUAGGCAUGUAUCUUAGGCAAAUCCGGGGUACUCUAUGCUGAGAUCUGAUAGCAAGCUGUACUUGUACAGCGAAGUGGUUGAUGCCAUGCUUCCAGGAAAAGUCUCUAAGCUUCAGUUACACAGGAAUCGUACCCGAAACCGACACAGGUGGUCAGGUCGAGUAGACCAAGGCGCUUGAGAGAACUCUGCUGAAGGAACUAGGCAAAAUGGUACCGUAACUUCGGGAGAAGGUACGCUGUUGUUGGUGAUGGAACUCGCUUCCUGAGCUGACGACAGCCGCAGAAACCAGGCCGCUGCAACUGUUUAUUAAAAACAUAGCACUCUGCAAACACGAAAGUGGACGUAUAGGGUGUGAUGCCUGCCCGGUGCUGGAAGGUUAAUUGAUGGGGUUAGCGUAAGCGAAGCUCUUGAUCGAAGCCCCAGUAAACGGCGGCCGUAACUAUAACGGUCCUAAGGUAGCGAAAUUCCUUGUCGGGUAAGUUCCGACCUGCACGAAUGGCAUAAUGAUGGCGGCGCUGUCUCCAGCAGAGGCUCAGUGAAAUCGAAAUCGCUGUGAAGAUGCAGUGUACCCGCGGCUAGACGGAAAGACCCCGUGAACCUUUACUGCAGCUUGACACUGAACUUUGACCUUACUUGUGUAGGAUAGGUGGGAGGCUUUGAAGCUGGAACGCUAGUUCCAGUGGAGCCGUCCUUGAAAUACCACCCUGGUAAUGUUGAGGUUCUAACUCUGUCCCGUGAUCCGGGACGAGGACCGUGUCUGGUGGGUAGUUUGACUGGGGCGGUCUCCUCCUAAAGAGUAACGGAGGAGUACGAAGGUGCGCUCAGCGUGGUCGGAAAUCACGCGUAGAGUAUAAAGGCAAAAGCGCGCUUAACUGCGAGACCCACAAGUCGAGCAGGUACGAAAGUAGGUCUUAGUGAUCCGGUGGUUCUGUAUGGAAGGGCCAUCGCUCAACGGAUAAAAGGUACUCUGGGGAUAACAGGCUGAUACCGCCCAAGAGUUCAUAUCGACGGCGGUGUUUGGCACCUCGAUGUCGGCUCAUCUCAUCCUGGGGCUGAAGCAGGUCCCAAGGGUAUGGCUGUUCGCCAUUUAAAGAGGUACGCGAGCUGGGUUUAGAACGCCGUGAGACAGUUCGGUCCCUAUCUACCGUGGGCGCUGGAAAUUUGAGAGGAUCUGCUCCUAGUACGAGAGGACCAGAGUGGACGAACCUCUGGUGUACCGGUUGUGACGCCAGUCGCAUCGCCGGGUAGCUAUGUUCGGAAGGGAUAACCGCUGAAAGCAUCUAAGCGGGAAGCCUACCUCAAGAUAAGAUUUCCCUAGGACUUUAUGUCCUCUAAAGAGCCGUUCGAGACUAGGACGUUGAUAGGUUGGAUGUGGAAGCAUAGUGAUAUGUGAAGCUGACCAAUACUAAUUGCUCGUGAGGCUUGACUAU
This 2891-nucleotide ribosomal RNA is filed under the name Acinetobacter baumannii AB307-0294. RNAcentral describes it as "bacterial LSU rRNA". It matches the Rfam family "Bacterial large subunit ribosomal RNA". The record is from RNAcentral. Lineage: Bacteria; Pseudomonadati; Pseudomonadota; Gammaproteobacteria; Moraxellales; Moraxellaceae. RNAcentral also lists the same sequence under 1 other name.